GGCUCCCAGAAUUCCCAAAACAAGUGUGCUCCCUUCAGAAAUACAGUCCUUGGAGUAGGAGGCUAACAGAGCUAAGGUGAAGGAUCUAAAACCUGAAAAGAGGCCAAAUGAUUCCUCAAAACCACGCAAGUACGAAGUAGCAGAGCGGAUCUCAAAUCCAGAGCACUGCGUGUUUUGAAAUAUACAAAUAGUGGGAAACGAAAUCUUUGUUCUGGAUGCAGUUAUAAUUUGGAAAGCGAGGAAAUAAAUUAUAACAAGGGGAAAAAACAGACACAGAGGGAUUGAAAUGCAUAACAAUAGAGAUGAAACACGAAGAGUGAUAAAUGAAGAUUGAGUGUGCACACCUUCUGGAGGAGCCCUGAUUGAGUAUUUUAAAAUACUACUAAAGUCAUGCCGUGUGACUUCUGAAGCUAGCUCCUAAGAAGUCCUUGCAGCUUCUGCCUGCGACUCUUAGAACACUUGCUUUGAAGGAUGCCAGAUGCUGUCUUAAAAGUCUGAGCACUCUGAAACCAUCAUGCUGUGAGGAAGCCCAAGCUAACCACAUGGGCAAAAAAGAUGCCCUCUGACUGCCACCAUUUGAGACACUCUAAUUAAGAACUGCCUCAUUGAGCCCAUGAGGCCCUGUGAAUGAUAAUAAUAAAUUGUUUUUAACCACUAUGUUUUUGGAUUUGUUAUAAGUUUAUAGAUAACAAGAAAAAGUUAUAUUAGCAUGGUAAUAAAAUUAUGGAUAUGUGUAA
RNAcentral lists this long non-coding RNA (737 nucleotides) under Homo sapiens (human). RNAcentral describes it as "long intergenic non-protein coding RNA 964". The record is from RNAcentral. Lineage: Eukaryota; Metazoa; Chordata; Mammalia; Primates; Hominidae.